Mauremys reevesii (Reeves's turtle) is the source of this 778-nucleotide long non-coding RNA. RefSeq lists it as uncharacterized. NCBI's taxonomy places the organism in Eukaryota, Metazoa, Chordata, Testudines, Geoemydidae. The transcript is spliced from 3 exons. The record is from RefSeq and is a predicted model, not a curated record.
GCAACAGCGUCCUGAGCCAGCCUUCUGAUUGGCGGAGCCAGCCUCGCUGCACGAGGAUUGGCCGAGUGCUGAGACACGCCCCCAUGCUCUUCUGAUUGGCGGGAGGAUCCGAAGCGGCGCUGCGAUUGGCCCGAAAGCCCCGUGUCCAGCGGGGGCGGAGGGCGAGGCCACGAUUCAGCCCCGGGAUCCCAUCGAUGGGUUCCCGCACGGGGUCAGAGAUAUAUUAGAAUUGCAAAAAGUAUAGAAAACGACUAAAAAAAAAAAGAUCAGGGGUAUGGAUCAGCUUCCGUAUGAAGACAGAGUAAAAAGAUUGGAAUUGUUCAGCUUAGAAAAAGACGACUAAGAAAAGCCUGCCUGACUUCAACACAGCCAGUCUAUUCCAGACACUGCCUUGCCAGGGAAAGGACUAUCAAUGACUGGACCAUCAAGGCCCAUCAACUUUGGAUGAUUCAAAGACUGGCCCAGUUCAGGUGCCAAUGGUUUUCUUCACUGGGCCUCACAGGGCAUGGGGUUGGAAUAUCCUAGACUGGGCACAUCGUCCAGAAGGGUCAAGACUAGGUUUAAGAGGAGUGUUCCUGGAGAAGGGCGGGCUGCCCACUGCCACACUCCACAAGACCAGGAUUGAAGGGAAGAAGGCGGUAGGGACUCGGCCUUGUCUGGAUCACUGACCAGAACUCAGUCUCGCAGGAUUGAGAUCAGACUGGAGGGCAGCUCAGGACGAUGGUUUUCACAGAUCUGUAACACUCCGCUGCUUUAAGAGUAAAGUGUCCGUGAUUAA